AAAAUAAUUUGGCAGUGAGCGACUCUUUUUAGGGGAAGGUGUGGUGUAAAGGAUGUUCCGCCUAAUAAUUUACUUUCGUUAUGUUGGUGUAUAUCUGGUUUAAUAUUAUCGUUGAGUAAGUGAGUUUGUGUAGUUUUAUUUAAGCCAAGUCUAUGUGCUGCUUAUGAAAGUAUUCAUGCGUUACAUUUAUAAGGUUUUGGUUGUAAUACUAAAAUAUUUAGGACUUAAAAGUAAUGUUCAAUAAGUUUGUGAGUGUGAAGUAAGUUUAGCUCAGGUACACACCGCC
Molecule: ribosomal RNA, 286 nt
Filed under: Taenia hydatigena
Lineage: Eukaryota; Metazoa; Platyhelminthes; Cestoda; Cyclophyllidea; Taeniidae
Description: partial 12S ribosomal RNA
Source: RNAcentral